RNAcentral lists this ribosomal RNA (497 nucleotides) under uncultured bacterium. RNAcentral describes it as "partial 16S ribosomal RNA". It matches the Rfam family "Bacterial small subunit ribosomal RNA", at positions 28 to 507 of the family's 1533-position model. The record is from RNAcentral.
GAUGAACGCUGGCGGCGUGCCUAAUACAUGCAAGUCGAGCGAACAGACGAGGAGCUUGCUCCUCUGACGUUAGCGGCGGACGGGUGAGUAACACGUGGAUAACCUACCUAUAAGACUGGGAUAACUUCGGGAAACCGGAGCUAAUACCGGAUAAUAUAUUGAACCGCAUGGUUCAAUAGUGAAAGACGGUUUUGCUGUCACUUAUAGAUGGAUCCGCGCCGCAUUAGCUAGUUGGUAAGGUAACGGCUUACCAAGGCGACGAUGCGUAGCCGACCUGAGAGGGGGAUCGGCCACACGGGAACGGAGACACGGUCCAGACUCCGACGGGAGGCAGAAGUAGGGAAUCGUCCGCAAUGGGCGAAAGCCUGACGGAGAAACGCCGCGUGAGGGAUGAAGGUCUUCGGAUCGUAAAACUCUGUUAUGAGGGAAGAAAAAAUGUGUAAGUAACUAGGCACGUCUUGACGGUACCUAAUAAGAAAGCCACGGCUAACUACGUG